CCUACGGGAGGCAGCAGUGGGGAAUAUUGCACAAUGGGGGAAACCCUGAUGCAGCGACGCCGCGUGAGUGAAGAAGUAUUUCGGUAUGUAAAGCUCUAUCAGCAGGGAAGAAAAAGACGGUACCUGAUUAAGGAACCCCGGCCAAAUACGGGCCAGCAGCCGCGGGAAUACGGAGGGGGGAAGCGUUAUCCGGAUUUACUGGGGGUAAAGGGGGCGUAGACGGCAUGACAAGGUUUGAGUGAAAUGCCGGGGCUUAACCCCGGAACUGCUUUGGAAACUGUGCAGCUAGAGUGCAGGAGAGGUAAGCGGAAUUCCUAGUGUAGCGGUGAAAUGCGUAGAUAUUAGGAGGAACACCAGUGGCGAAGGCGGCUUACUGGACUGUAACUGACGUUGAGGCUCGAAAGCGUGGGGAGCAAACAGGAUUAGAUACCCGAGUAGUC
RNAcentral lists this ribosomal RNA (440 nucleotides) under uncultured bacterium. RNAcentral describes it as "partial 16S ribosomal RNA". It matches the Rfam family "Bacterial small subunit ribosomal RNA", at positions 338 to 795 of the family's 1533-position model. The record is from RNAcentral.